UCGAACGAGAACGGGAUUAAGUUUACUUAAUUUGUCAGCUAAGUCCGCGCACGGGUGAGUAAUGUAUAGUUAACCUGCCCUCGAGAAAGGAAUAACAGUUGGAAACGACUGCUAAUGCCCUAUAUGCCUUUAAGACAUAAGUCUACAAGGGAAAUGCUUUUGUGCUCGAGGAUGGGACUGUAUGGUAUCAGAUAGUUGGUGAGGUAAUGGCUCACCAAGUCAAUGACGCCUAACUGGUUUGAGAGGAUGAUCAGUCACACUGGAACUGAGACACGGUCCAGACUCCUACGGGAGGCAGCAGUGGGGAAUAUUGCACAAUGGAGGAAACUCUGAUGCAGCAACGCCGCGUGGAGGAUGACACUUUUCGGAGCGUAAACUCCUUUUAUAUAGGAAGAUAAUGACGGUACUAUAUGAAUAAGCGCCGGCUAACUCCGUGCCAGCAGCCGCGGUAAUACGGAGGGCGCAAGCGUUACUCGGAAUCACUGGGCGUAAAGAGCGUGUAGGCGGGUUAAUAAGUCAGAAGUGAAAUCCUAUAGCUCAACUAUAGAACUGCUUUUGAAACUGUUAACCUAGAAUAUGGGAGAGGUAGAUGGAAUUUCUGGUGUAGGGGUAAAAUCCGUAGAGAUCAGAAGGAAUACCGAUU
This 643-nucleotide ribosomal RNA is filed under the name Halarcobacter bivalviorum. Its description in RNAcentral is "bacterial SSU rRNA". It matches the Rfam family "Bacterial small subunit ribosomal RNA", at positions 62 to 714 of the family's 1533-position model. The record is from RNAcentral. Lineage: Bacteria; Pseudomonadati; Campylobacterota; Epsilonproteobacteria; Campylobacterales; Arcobacteraceae.